GACGAACGCUGGCGGCGUGCCUAAUACAUGCAAGUCGAACGCUUCUUUCCUCCCGAGUGCUUGCACUCAAUUGGAAAGAGGAGUGGCGGACGGGUGAGUAACACGUGGGUAACCUACCCAUCAGAGGGGGAUAACACUUGGAAACAGGUGCUAAUACCGCAUAACAGUUUAUGCCGCAUGGCAUAAGAGUGAAAGGCCCUUUCGGGUGUCGCUGAUGGAUGGACCCGCGGUGCAUUAGCUAGUUGGUGAGGUAACGGCUCACCAAGGCCACGAUGCAUAGCCGACCUGAGAGGGGGAUCGGCAACACUGGGACUGAGACACGGCCAAGACUCCUACGGGAGGCAGCAGUAGGGAAUCUUCGGCAAUGGACGAAAGUCUGACCGAGCAACGCCGCGUGAUUGAAGAAGGUUUUCGGAUCGUAAAACUCUGUUGUUAGAGAAGAACAAGGACGUUAGUAACUGAACGUCCCCUGACGGUAUCUAACCAGAAAGCCACGGCUAACUACGUG
This 508-nucleotide ribosomal RNA is filed under the name uncultured bacterium. RNAcentral's name for it is "partial 16S ribosomal RNA". It matches the Rfam family "Bacterial small subunit ribosomal RNA", at positions 28 to 507 of the family's 1533-position model. The record is from RNAcentral.